This 195-nucleotide unclassified non-coding RNA is filed under the name uncultured Physisporinus. Its description in RNAcentral is "sequence contains ITS2". The record is from RNAcentral. Lineage: Eukaryota; Fungi; Basidiomycota; Agaricomycetes; Polyporales; Polyporaceae.
UAUUCUCAAUUCUCUUGGUUUCUGCCAAGAUGAUAUUGGAUUUGGAGGCUAUUGCUGGCAUCAUCAUCUCUGAAGCCAGCUCCUCUCAAAUGAAUCAGUGUGGACAUUCACUUCAUACUUGGUGUGAUAAUUAUCUACACUAUGUUUGAGUGAUACAGUUUCAUGCUUCGAAUCGUCGCAAGACACUACUUUGAC